AUCAAAACAGACCUUUGUAAUUCCACAGGAAUAAAUCUGGUCCAAUUCCCUGAAAAAUGAGAAAGACAAGGACUGCCAGGGGUCAGGCAACCCUGGAGCUUAGAUAAUUUUACUUUUCAAAUUUUGUGGGUUGACUCUACUUACUUAUGAAACUGAAUUGCUAAUAAAAUUAAUUAGAAGCAUCAUAAGUUGGCCAUCCCAAGAGUAUUUCUACUUGAAGCAGUCAUUAAUUAUUCUGACCAGGAUUGUCUGUCUUUUCUAUUUAUAGGCUGGCCAUGGGCGACACUGACUGUUCUUGGGUUCCUCUACUGCUAUUCUCAUGUUGGAAUUGAGUGGGAGCAGAAGUGUGCUGCACACUAGGAAUGAUGCAAACCAUUAUUCUUGAGGCAGGUUGAUGGUUUUUCUACACUGGAUGUUCUAUCUGCACAAGGGCCACUUCAGUGACCUCUCCACUGCCUUUCCCCAGCUCUUGGCAUCCUGUCUCAAGGCUACCCUUGGAUCCAGUUCUGCUGACCCACACUUCCCACACCACUGCCGGUGCCAUCUGCCCAGCCUUCGCUCAGGUUUUUACUCAUCUUGUCUUCCAAAAACAGGAGAGGUUAAUUCCCCCAGCUGCCAUAUACCAACACAGAAGUUGUGGUGAAUUAGAAUGAAAGAAGCACAGACUCAAUCUUUUAGGUGAAAAAGACUUGUAUUGGCUGAGAUUCUUUAUAUGUGUGUUGCAAUUAAACCCCUGACACCACUGGCAGCAAUAAAUACCAUAGCAACACAGCAUCCUUCCCAGCAUUUUCUGGUUGGAUACACAGC
This 807-nucleotide long non-coding RNA is filed under the name Camarhynchus parvulus. Its description in RNAcentral is "lncRNA (ENSCPVG00000012083.2)". The record is from RNAcentral. Lineage: Eukaryota; Metazoa; Chordata; Aves; Passeriformes; Thraupidae.